This 253-nucleotide ribosomal RNA is filed under the name uncultured bacterium. RNAcentral describes it as "partial 16S ribosomal RNA". It matches the Rfam family "Bacterial small subunit ribosomal RNA", at positions 524 to 776 of the family's 1533-position model. The record is from RNAcentral.
UACGGAGGGUGCAAGCGUUAUCCGGAUUUACUGGGUUUAAAGGGUGUGUAGGCGGACUUUUAAGUCCGUGGUGAAAUCUCCGGGCUCAACCCGGAAACUGCCAUGGAUACUAUUUGUCUUGAAUAUUGUGGAGGUGAGCGGAAUAUGUCAUGUAGCGGUGAAAUGCUUAGAUAUGACAUAGAACACCAAUUGCGAAGGCAGCUCACUACACAGUCAUUGACGCUGAGGCACGAAAGCGUGGGGAUCAAACAGG